Molecule: transfer RNA, 71 nt
Filed under: Stegodyphus mimosarum
Lineage: Eukaryota; Metazoa; Arthropoda; Arachnida; Araneae; Eresidae
Rfam family: tRNA
About the family: Transfer RNA (tRNA) molecules are approximately 80 nucleotides in length. Their secondary structure includes four short double-helical elements and three loops (D, anti-codon, and T loops).
Source: Rfam by way of RNAcentral
GCUUUCGUGGUGUAAUGGUAGCGCACUCGGGGUAUAUUCGAGAGAUCUAGGUUCGAGUCCCGGCUAGAGCA